UAACCUGCCUCUUAGCGGGGGAUAACUAUUGGAAAAAAUAGCUAAUACCGCAUAAAAGUCGAUAUCGCAUGAUAUUGAUUUGAAAGGUGCAAUUGCAUCACUAAGAGAUGGACCUGCGUUGUAUUAGCUAGUUGGUGAGGUAACGGCUCACCAAGGCGACGAUACAUAGCCGACCUGAGAGGGUGAUCGGCCACACUGGGACUGAGACACGGCCCAG
Molecule: ribosomal RNA, 217 nt
Filed under: uncultured bacterium
Lineage: Bacteria
Description: partial 16S ribosomal RNA
Rfam family: Bacterial small subunit ribosomal RNA
Source: RNAcentral